GGGGGCAUGUGCACGCUCUGUUUGUGCAUCCACUCACACCUGUGCACCUUCUGUAGUUCUGUGGCCUGGGGGACUUGUCCUCCUGCUGUGGUUCUGCAUCUUUACACUCACGCUGUGAUAAAGUCUAAUGGAAUGCAUGCCGCGUUUAACGCAAUACAAUACAACUUUCAGCAACGGAUCUCUUGGCUCUCGCAUCGAUGAAGAACGCAGCGAAAUGCGAUAAGUAAUGUGAAUUGCAGAAUUCAGUGAAUCAUCGAAUCUUUGAACGCACCUUGCGCCCUUUGGCUAUUCCGAAGGGCAUGCCUGUUUGAGUAUCAUGAACAUCUCAACUCCUCACGGUUUGCCCGUGAUGAGCUUGGACUUUGGGGGUCUUGCCGGCCUGCGGGUCGGCUCCUCUCAAAUGAAUCAGCUUGCCGGUGUUUGGUGGCGUCACAGGUGUGAUAACUAUCUACGCUUGUGGUU
Molecule: ribosomal RNA, 462 nt
Filed under: uncultured Tomentella
Lineage: Eukaryota; Fungi; Basidiomycota; Agaricomycetes; Thelephorales; Thelephoraceae
Description: eukaryotic LSU rRNA
Rfam family: 5.8S ribosomal RNA (bases 163-317)
Source: RNAcentral